AGCCAGUUAGCUCAGUUGGUUAGAGCGUGGUGCUAAUAAUGCCAAGGUCACAGGUUCAAUCCCUGCUCUCACUG
RNAcentral lists this transfer RNA (74 nucleotides) under Pelecanus crispus (Dalmatian pelican). It matches the Rfam family "tRNA". From Rfam's summary of the family: Transfer RNA (tRNA) molecules are approximately 80 nucleotides in length. Lineage: Eukaryota; Metazoa; Chordata; Aves; Pelecaniformes; Pelecanidae. The record is from Rfam by way of RNAcentral.